CAGCCGCCGCGGUAAUACGUAGGGGGCAAGCGUUAUCCGGAAUUACUGGGUGUAAAGGGAGCGUAGACGGUUAAACAAGUCUGAAGUGAAAUGCCGGGGCUCAACCCCGGAGCUGCUUUGGGAACUGUAGCACUGGAGUGUCGGAGGGGUAAGCGGAAUUCCCAGUGUAGCGGUGAAAUGCGUAGAUAUUGGGAGGAACACCGGCGGCGAAGGCGGCUUACUGGACGACAACUGACGUUGAGGCUCGAAGGCGUGGGUAGCAAACAGGAUUAGAUACCCCGGUAGUCCCUGUCUCUUAUAC
RNAcentral lists this ribosomal RNA (301 nucleotides) under uncultured bacterium. Its description in RNAcentral is "partial 16S ribosomal RNA". It matches the Rfam family "Bacterial small subunit ribosomal RNA", at positions 509 to 807 of the family's 1533-position model. The record is from RNAcentral.